UACGUAGGGUGCGAGCGUUAAUCGGAAUUACUGGGCGUAAAGGGUGCGCAGGUGGUUUUGUAAGUCAGAUGUGAAAUCCCCGGGCUUAACCUGGGAAUUGCGUUUGAAACUACAAGACUAGAGUGUGGCAGAGGGGGGUGGAAUUCCAUGUGUAGCAGUGAAAUGCGUAGAGAUAUGGAAGAACAUCGAUGGCGAAGGCAGCCCCUGGGUUAACACUGACACUCAGGCACGAAAGCGUGGGGAGCAAACAGGAUUAGAAACCCGUGUAGU
This 270-nucleotide ribosomal RNA is filed under the name uncultured bacterium. RNAcentral describes it as "partial 16S ribosomal RNA". It matches the Rfam family "Bacterial small subunit ribosomal RNA", at positions 524 to 794 of the family's 1533-position model. The record is from RNAcentral.